Molecule: microRNA precursor, 208 nt
Organism: Oryza sativa Japonica Group (Japanese rice)
Lineage: Eukaryota; Viridiplantae; Streptophyta; Magnoliopsida; Poales; Poaceae
Rfam family: MIR812 microRNA precursor family
Source: Rfam
AAUAAGUGCAGUUUUGCACUAUUCACGUUUAACGUUUGACCGUUCAUCUUAUUUGAAAUUUUUUUAUGAUUAAUAUUUUUAUUGUUAUUAGAUGAUAAAAUAUGAAUAGUACUUUAUGUGUGACUAAAUAUUUUCAAAUUUUUUAUAAAUUUUUCAAAUAAGACGGACGGUCAAAUAUUGGGCACAGGUAUCCACGGUUGCACUUAUU